GUAAUGACGUGUAUCACGGAUUUGUGAAAGCUGAAAGUCAGAAGCCAGCAGAAAAGCAGCAGGUGCCAGACGUGUAUUCAAAGGUCAACAAGGUGAAGAAAAGCAACAAUGCAACAGAAGUACAGAUCACUCUGAGUAUUGAAGACCUGUAUGCGAAGCCCAUCAAACCAGCAAACGGAAGGAGUGAAUCGUCAUCCUAAGUGUCAUCCUACCAGAACGUGGACGUCAGCACCCCAGACUGACCGACAGACGUCAUCAGAAGCAGUGGUCGUUGUGGACUUCCAAUCCAGUGAUGCUGAAAGGGACUCUUCCUCAUGAUACGCUGUCAUUACACCAACACCAAAGAGAAAUAUACACACAAUCAUACAGCUUAAUGCACCAUUAAGUAUUGUCACCAUAACCCAAGUUAUUCAAGCUUUAUGACGGUUUCCUGUGAGGAAAUCCAGUGACGUAUUGAGAUCAACGAUUUGCCCCUUCGGGAUACGAUGACGUUCAAAUUGGGAGGCUCACACGACCCACGAUACUUGGGAUGUAUUUCAACUCGAUAUCCCAACAGGAAUGUGUUUGUUGAGUACAAUCUGAUACAGUUUCCUAACAUUUUAUUAUGAUUUUGUUAUUACUCACUGUUUUACUUUGCAUCAUUGUUGUGAAUGCUGUAUAUCCCCAUAGAAUGACUUUCGCCAUUUUCUCCCCAAAAUGCACAGUGAGAAAUGACCGUCUCAAACUCACAAUAAGCGGAGAAUAGAAUAGACUAACUUAAAACAUACCCUAAUUCAUGAAAUACUAUUAGAUACGUCGAUGAACAGAAAUGAACCAAGCAUUGUUGAGUAUGAAAGGAAAAACAUGAUUUUGGAACAGAGGUUAGGGGAGUGAAUAGAUGUAAAUAAGGUACUUUCGUGUCUCUAUUACACUUACGACAUUUUUAGUAUUAAAAUCAUUAUGUAGUAAAACUAUAUGUAAGCCUGUAAAUGGCUCUUCUGUGCCUGUUAUGGUUUCAAGAAAUCCGCUGACUUUGUGUGAAGGGUACCAAUUCACGUACAUUUUUUUUAGAGUCAUCAUUAGAUGUUUGCCAAGGUUGCAUUCUGAAUCCCUUGUUAUAUACUUUCGUUAUUGAUGAAUUGGUUAAACUGUGAUCAGUGAAUAUUUGUCAUUGAGCACAUCAAUAUACUGCUAAAUUUGUUUGCUGAUGAUUUACA
Haliotis rubra (blacklip abalone) is the source of this 1196-nucleotide long non-coding RNA. RefSeq lists it as uncharacterized. NCBI's taxonomy places the organism in Eukaryota, Metazoa, Mollusca, Gastropoda, Lepetellida, Haliotidae. The transcript is spliced from 3 exons. The record is from RefSeq and is a predicted model, not a curated record.